UACGAAGGGGGCUAGCGUUGCUCGGAAUCACUGGGCGUAAAGCGCACGUAGGCGGACUCUUAAGUCAGGGGUGAAAUCCCGGGGCUCAACCCCGGAACUGCCUUUGAUACUGGUAGUCUUGAGUUCGAGAGAGGUGAGUGGAAUUCCGAGUGUAGAGGUGAAAUUCGUAGAUAUUCGGAGGAACACCAGUGGCGAAGGCGGCUCACUGGCUCGAUACUGACGCUGAGGUGCGAAAGCGUGGGGAGCAAACAGG
RNAcentral lists this ribosomal RNA (253 nucleotides) under uncultured bacterium. Its description in RNAcentral is "partial 16S ribosomal RNA". It matches the Rfam family "Bacterial small subunit ribosomal RNA", at positions 524 to 776 of the family's 1533-position model. The record is from RNAcentral.